UGGGGAAUUUUGGACAAUGGGCGAAAGCCUGAUCCAGCAAUGCCGCGUGUGUGAAGAAGGCCUUCGGGUUGUAAAGCACUUUUGUCCGGAAAGAAAUGGCUCUGGUUAAUACCUGGGGUCGAUGACGGUACCGGAAGAAUAAGGACCGGCUAACUACGUGCCAGCAGCCGCGGUAAUACGUAGGGUCCAAGCGUUAAUCGGAAUUACUGGGCGUAAAGCGUGCGCAGGCGGUUGUGCAAGACCGAUGUGAAAUCCCCGAGCUUAACUUGGGAAUUGCAUUGGUGACUGCACGGCUAGAGUGUGUCAGAGGAGGGUAGAAUGCCACGUGUAGCAGUGAAAUGCGUAGAGAUGUGGAGGAAUACCGAUGGCGAAGGCAGCCCCCUGGGAUAACACUGACGCUCAUGCACGAAAGCGUGGGGAGCAAACAGG
This 429-nucleotide ribosomal RNA is filed under the name bacterium. RNAcentral's name for it is "partial 16S ribosomal RNA". It matches the Rfam family "Bacterial small subunit ribosomal RNA", at positions 355 to 776 of the family's 1533-position model. The record is from RNAcentral.